AGAGGGUGCAAGCGUUAAUCGGAAUUACUGGGCGUAAAGCGCGCGUAGGUGGAAGAGAAAGUUGGAUGUGAAAGCCCUGGGCUCAACCUGGGAACUGCAUUCAAAACUACUCAUCUAGAGUACAGGAGAGGGAAGUGGAAUUUCCGGUGUAGUGGUGAGAUACGUAGAUAUCGGAAGGAACACCAAUGGCGAAGGCAACUUCCUGGACUGAUACUGACACUGAGGCGCGAAAGCGUGGGGAGCAAACAGGAUUAGAUACCCUGGUAGUCCACGCCGUAAACGAUGAGAACUAGACGUUGGGCCGCAAUGACGGCUCAGUGUCGAAGCUAACGCGAUAAGCUCUCCGCCUGGGGAGUACGGCCGCAAGGUUA
This 371-nucleotide ribosomal RNA is filed under the name uncultured bacterium. RNAcentral's name for it is "bacterial SSU rRNA". It matches the Rfam family "Bacterial small subunit ribosomal RNA", at positions 527 to 896 of the family's 1533-position model. The record is from RNAcentral.